GUCACGCUGUAAACGAUGUCGAUUUGGAGUUUGGGGGCAUGACCCUUGGGCUCCGGAGCUAACGCGUUAAAUCGACCGCGUGGGGAGUACGGCCGCAAGGUUAAAACUCAAAUGAAUUGACGGGGGCCCGCACAAGCGGUGGAGCAUGUGGUUUAAUUCGAUGCAACGCGAAGAACCUUACCUGGUCUUGACAUCCAUAGAAUCUUGUAGAGAUACGAGAGUGCCUUCGGGAGCUAUGAGACAGGUGCUGCAUGGCUGUCGUCAGCUCGUGUUGUGAAAUGUUGGGUUAAGUCCCGCAACGAGCGCAACCCUUAUCCUUUGUUGCCAGCGGGUAAAGCCGGGAACUCAAAGGAGACUGCCGUUGAUAAAGCGGAGGAAGGUGGGGACGACGUCAAGUCAUCAUGGCCCUUACGACCAGGGCUACACACGUGCUACAAUGGCGUAUACAAAGGGAAGCGAAGGUGCGAACUGGAGCGGACCUCCUAAAGUACGUCUAAGUCCGGAUUGGAGUCUGCAACUCGACUCCAUGAAGUCGGAAUCGCUAGUAAUCGUGAAUCAGAAUGUCACGGUGAAUACGUUCCCGGGCCUUGUACACACCGCCCGUCACACCAUGGGAGUGGGUUGCACCAGAAGUAGAUAGCUUAACCGCAAGGGGGGCGUUUACCACGGUGUGAUUCAUGACUGGGGUGAAGUCGUAACAAGGUAACCA
This 709-nucleotide ribosomal RNA is filed under the name uncultured Enterobacteriaceae bacterium. RNAcentral's name for it is "bacterial SSU rRNA". It matches the Rfam family "Bacterial small subunit ribosomal RNA", at positions 794 to 1502 of the family's 1533-position model. Lineage: Bacteria; Pseudomonadati; Pseudomonadota; Gammaproteobacteria; Enterobacterales; Enterobacteriaceae. The record is from RNAcentral.